RNAcentral lists this ribosomal RNA (503 nucleotides) under uncultured bacterium. RNAcentral describes it as "partial 16S ribosomal RNA". It matches the Rfam family "Bacterial small subunit ribosomal RNA", at positions 29 to 523 of the family's 1533-position model. The record is from RNAcentral.
AACGAACGCUGGCGGCACGUUUUAAGCAUGCAAGUCGAAUGGCAGUGGGGGGAACCCCAUGAGAAUGGCGAACGGGUGAGUAACACGUAGGUGAUCUGCCUGACGGAUGGGGAUAGCUUGUGGAAACACAGGGUAAUACCGAAUGAGCUGACGAGACUUUGGUUUUGUUAGUAAAGGUGCUACGGCACCGCCGACAGAGGAGCCUGCGGCUGAUUAGCUAGUUGGUGGAGUAAAGGCCUACCAAGGCGACGAUCAGUAGCCGGCCUGAGAGGGUGUACGGCCACACUGGAACUGAGACUCGGGCCAGACUCCUACGGGAGGCAGCAGCUAAGAAUCUUCCGCAAUGGGCGAAAGCCUGACGGAGCGAUGCCGCGUGAUCGAUGAAGGUCGAGAGAUUGUAAAGAUCUUUUCUACAUGAGGAAUAAGUCUGGGAGGGAAUGCCUGGAUGAUGACGUUAGUGUAGGAAUAAGCCCCGGCUAAUUACGUGCCAGCCGCCGCCGUAA